UUCCGGUUGAUCCUGCCGGAGGCCACUGCUAUUGGGAUUCGANUAAGCCAUGCGAGUCGUGAGGGUUCGGCCCUCGGCUGACGGCUCAGUAACACGUGGAUAAUCUGCCCUUAGAUGGAGGAUACCCUCGGGAAACUGAGAAUAAUACUCCAUAGAUCUAGGAUGCUGGAAUGCGCUUAGAUCCAAAGCUUCACGGCGUCUAAGGAUGAGUCUGCGGACUAUCAGGUAGUAGUCAGGGUAACGACCUGACUAGCCUACGACGGAUACGGGUUGUGAGAGCAAUAACCCGGAGAUGAUAUCUGAGACACGAUAUCAGGCCCUACGGGGCGCAGCAGGCGCGAAAACUUCGCACUGUGCGAAAGCACGACGAGGGGAUCCCAAGUGCUGGCUCGUUAGAGUCAGCUGUUUCUCUGUCUAAAAAACAGAGAGAGUAAGGGCUGGGUAAGACGGGUGCCAGCCGCCGCGGUAAUACCUGCAGCCCAAGUGGUGGUCUGUAUUAUUGGGCCUAAAACGUCCGUAGCCGGUUCUGUAAAUGCCUGGGUAAAUCGUGUCGCUUAACGAUACGAAUUCCGGGUAGACUGCAGGACUUGAGAUCGGGAGAAGCUAGAGGUACUCCUGGGGUAGAGGUGAAAUUCUGUAAUCCUAGGGGGACCACCGGUGGCGAAGGCGUCUAGCUAGAACGAGUCUGACGGUCAGGGACGAAGCCCUGGGGCGCAAACGGGAUUAGAUACCCCGGUAGUCCAGGGUGUAAACGCUGCUCGCUUGAUGUUAGCUGGGCUCCGAGCCCAGCUAGUGUCGGAGAGAAGUUGUUAAGCGAGCUGCCUGGGAAGUACGAUCGCAAGACUGAAACUUAAAGGAAUUGGCGGGGGAGCACCGCAACGGGUGGAGCGUGCGGUUUAAUUGGAUUCAACGCCGGA
Molecule: ribosomal RNA, 917 nt
Filed under: uncultured archaeon
Lineage: Archaea
Description: bacterial SSU rRNA
Rfam family: Archaeal small subunit ribosomal RNA
Source: RNAcentral